AUAUGUGAUCGUCUCUCGCAUAUCAAUAAGCGGAGGAAAAGAAACUAACAAGGAUUCCCCUAGUAACGGCGAGUGAAGCGGGAAGAGCUCAAAUUUGAAAUCUUAAAGGGUUUCCCUUUACGAAUUGUAGUUUAAAGAAGUGUUUUCUGUUGAGGUUUUGGUAAAAGUUCUUUGGAAUAGGACAUCAUAGAGGGUGAGAAUCCCGUAUUUGACCUUUACUUUCAACUUUGUGAUACACUUUCAAGGAAUCGGAUUGUUUGGGAAUGCAGUCCAAAAUGGGUGGUAAAUUUCAUCUAAAGCUAAAUAUUGGCGAGAGACCGAUAGCGAACAAGUACCGUGAGGGAAAGAUGAAAAGAACUUUGAAAAGAGAGUUAAACAGUACGUGAAAUUGUCAAAAGGGAAGCGUUUGACACCAGUGUUGUUUUUCUGAAAAUCAAUUAAAGAACUGUUUAUGCUAAGUUGUUUAGACUUUAUCAGCUAACUGUUUAGUUUUGAGCUUUUCUUUAAUGCACUUUUCAGUUAACAAGUCAACAUCAAUUUCUUUUGCUGUAAAAAAGCUUGAGGAAGGUGGCUUGAGAUUCGUCUUAAGUGUUUAUAGCCUCUUGCCUAUGCAGUCGGAGAGAUUGAGGUCUGCAGCGUAGAUCCUUCGGGGCUAAAUGCAUUUGUGCUAAGUUAUAGCAUUUUAUAGACAACUUGUUGACUAUGAUUUGUCUUGUAGCUUACUCGCUUAUGUUAUUUUACCUACGCUUAGGAUGUUGAAUCUGUGCGAGACUAC
This 775-nucleotide ribosomal RNA is filed under the name uncultured Neocallimastigales. RNAcentral's name for it is "partial large subunit ribosomal RNA". It matches the Rfam family "Eukaryotic large subunit ribosomal RNA", at positions 24 to 644 of the family's 3401-position model. Lineage: Eukaryota; Fungi; Neocallimastigomycota; Neocallimastigomycetes; Neocallimastigales. The record is from RNAcentral.